GAUGAACGCUGGCGGCGUGCCUAAUACAUGCAAGUCGAGCGAACAGACGAGGAGCUUGCUCCUCUGACGUUAGCGGCGGACGGGUGAGUAACACGUGGAUAACCUACCUAUAAGACUGGGAUAACUUCGGGAAACCGGAGCUAAUACCGGAUCAUAUAUUGAACCGCAUGGUUCAAUAGUGAAAGACGGUUUUGCUGUCACUUAUAGAUGGAUCCGCGCCGCAUUAGCUAGUUGGUAAGGUAACGGCUUACCAAGGCAACGAUGCGUAGCCGACCUGAGAGGGUGAUCGGCCACACUGGAACUGAGACACGGUCCAGACUCCUACGGGAGGCAGCAGUAGGGAAUCUUCCGCAAUGGGCGAAAGCCUGACGGAGCAACGCCGCGUGAGUGAUGAAGGUCUUCGGAUUGUAAAACUCUGUUAUUAGGGAAGAAAAAAAGUGUAAGUAACUAUGCACGUCUUGACGGUACCUAAACAGAAAGCCACGGCUAACUACGUG
RNAcentral lists this ribosomal RNA (497 nucleotides) under uncultured bacterium. RNAcentral's name for it is "partial 16S ribosomal RNA". It matches the Rfam family "Bacterial small subunit ribosomal RNA", at positions 28 to 507 of the family's 1533-position model. The record is from RNAcentral.